UAGUCAUAUGCUUGUCUCAAAGAUUAAGCCAUGCAUGUCUAAGUAUACGCAAAUUAUACUGUGAAACUGCGAAUGGCUCAUUAAAUCAGUUAUAGUUUAUUUGAUGUUUCUUGCUACAUGGAUAACUGUGGUAAUUCUAGAGCUAAUACAUGCGUAAAAAGCCCCGACUUCUGGAAGGGGUGUAUUUAUUAGAUAAAAACCAUCCUCCUCGGAGUUUGGUGAUUCAUAAUAACUUCUCGAAUCGCACGGCCUUGUGCUGGCGAUGCUUCAUUCAAAUAUCUGCCCUAUCAACUGUCGAUGGUAGGAUAGAGGCCUACCAUGGUUGCAACGGGUAACGGGGAAUAAGGGUUCGAUUCCGGAGAGGGAGCCUGAGAAACGGCUACCACAUCCAAGGAAGGCAGCAGGCGCGCAAAUUACCCAAUCCCGACACGGGGAGGUAGUGACGAUAAAUAACGAUGCGGGGCCCUUUUGGGUCUUGUGAAU
RNAcentral lists this ribosomal RNA (483 nucleotides) under uncultured eukaryote. Its description in RNAcentral is "SSU rRNA". It matches the Rfam family "Eukaryotic small subunit ribosomal RNA", at positions 21 to 510 of the family's 1831-position model. The record is from RNAcentral.